UAGUGAAUUAUCAAAGCAGGUAGCAUUG
This 28-nucleotide small RNA is filed under the name Bombyx mori (domestic silkworm). RNAcentral describes it as "ovarian small RNA-23044". The record is from RNAcentral. Lineage: Eukaryota; Metazoa; Arthropoda; Insecta; Lepidoptera; Bombycidae.